This 73-nucleotide transfer RNA is filed under the name Callyspongia plicifera (azure vase sponge). RNAcentral's name for it is "tRNA-Val". It matches the Rfam family "tRNA". Rfam says of the family: Transfer RNA (tRNA) molecules are approximately 80 nucleotides in length. Their secondary structure includes four short double-helical elements and three loops (D, anti-codon, and T loops). Lineage: Eukaryota; Metazoa; Porifera; Demospongiae; Haplosclerida; Callyspongiidae. The record is from RNAcentral.
AGGUGUUUAACUCAGUUGGUAGAGUAUUGUGUUUACGCCACAAAGGUCAAAAGUUCGAUUCUUUUAGCACCUA